CUGGUCUAAGCUUUUAUUACAUAAAAAAUUGUUGGUUAGGUUUUAGGUUAAAUCUACUACACAAAAAACAGGAAUAUAAAAUUAUUUUCAAAUAAAAAAAAAAUAUUGUAAAAUUGUGAUCAUCUAUCUACAAUGAAUAAAAUACGAAUUAUCAAUUCAUCUCGGAAGACUGUGUCAAAGGUUUUAAAUCGUUUCAAAAUGAGCCGUAUUAAUAAGGAUAACCAUUUCAAAAAGCAACAGCCCACUCAUUUCAUUUCAAUUCCAUUUUGUUUGGGAGAAGUAAGAGAGAGAUAUCUUAAUUUCAAGAAAGAAAUUCUUGAAAAAUAUCCAGACCAGCCUGACGUCGAUGAAGUACUUUUCCAAAAUCCUAACAAGCUCCAUAUGACAUUGGGAGUGAUGAAUCUCUCAAACAAGACAGAACAAGCUAAUGCAAUAGAGAUUCUAAAACAAUGCAAAGCUGAUGUCAUUGACCGCAUUAUGGUGAGCCAGUCAUUUAAAAUGAGAAUUUGCGGAGUGGGAGUGCUGAACAAUGAUCCAAUGAAAGCUCGUGUCGUUUACGGCAAAGUGCAUGAUAGUGAGCAGCAAUCGUGGCAGUUACUCUGUGACAACAUAGUCGAUUAUUUCACCAAAGAAGGUGUAAUGGAAAAAGAAUACGACCAAGUGAAGAUGCACAUCACUCUCAUGAACACAGUAUUUCGCAGGAAGUCUUCUGUUGAAACAAUUCGGAAAAAUAGGAAGCCUAUCGAUGUUUCUUCUAUUAUCAAGGAAUAUGAAAACUACGAGUUUGGAGAAACCACCGUUGAUGCUAUACAUUUGUCUAAUAUGCGUGCCGUAUCUAGUAGUGGAUAUUACAAACCGGAGAUUAUUCUGGAUUUGAGACAGAACGAAUCCGAACUCAAGCAUAUCGAAUGAUGGAAAUCGCUCAUUAAAUUUGAGAAGAAACUUGUCUUAAUCACCGGAUCAGAAUAAGAUUGAAUCAAUUAUUCUGAUUGAUAACAUUUGCAAUAGCUUUUUCAAUUCGUCACAUUGAAAAGUGAUCAUUCAGUGACAGAGAACCUCGAACAAUGGAAUAUUGAAAAUUGUCUCUGGCAUGUGAUGCAGUGCCCUGGUUACCACAAGGAGCAAGCCAAGGUGUAGGUAGCUUCCAGGAUCCCGUAACACCGAGCAACAAUGGACAGUGUGAUCUACAACUAGUUGACUCUCUGAGGAACUUGAGUGAAGAGCUUCGAUCAGCAAUGGAGUUGACCAACCACAUUUUUGGACUACAAAUACUAGCCGCUACCUUCGACUUAUUCCUUAACAUUGUCAUCACUCCCUAUUUCUUAUACAUAGAUAUAAAAACAACUUCGAGCUCUGGUCAUGUAUUUAUGAUGACGAAAGAGGGAAAAGUAUUUUGGACCAUAGCAAAUAUAUUGAAGCUUGUUUUCUUGUUUCUUCCAUGCGCUUCUACCACUGAUGAGGCUAAUAAAACAUCAUUCAUCGUUUGCAGGCUGCUAAAUGAGGAUCUGCAGCCAGGCAUGAAGAAAGAGCUGAAAACCUUCUUGUUGCAAUUACUGUCAUCUCAUAAGAUAAUGGGCUUCUCUGCUAGUGGAAUGUUUGAAUUGAAUCUGUCAUCUAUCAUUUCCGUUGCUGGAGCUGUAACUACAUACCUGGUUGUUCUAAUUCAAUUUCAAAGUGCUUGAAUGACCGAGUGCUCUCUAGUCUCUACGAUGGUUGCUGCUUCAACCAACUAAAUUUAAAAUCAGCCACGAGAGAGUAGCCAGGAAAACAGUCAGCAAUAUAGUCUCAUUUUUGAUG
Molecule: unclassified non-coding RNA, 1797 nt
Filed under: Nilaparvata lugens (brown planthopper)
Lineage: Eukaryota; Metazoa; Arthropoda; Insecta; Hemiptera; Delphacidae
Description: activating signal cointegrator 1 complex subunit 1, transcript variant X7
Source: RNAcentral